AUUGAACGCUGGCGGCAGGCCUAACACAUGCAAGUCGAGCGGAUGAAGGGUGCUUGCUCCUGGAUUCAGCGGGGGACGGGUGAGUGAUGCCUAGGAAUAUGCCUGGCAGUGGUGGAUAACGUCCGGAAACGGGCGCUAAUACCGCAUACGUCCAGAGGGAGAAAGUGGGGGAUCUUCGGACCUCACGCUAUCAGGUGAGCCUAGGUCGGAUUAGCUAGUUGGUGGGGUAAAGGGCUACCAAGGCGACGAUCCGUAACUGGUCUGAGAGGAUGAUCAGCCACACUGGAACUGAGACACGGUCCAGACUCCUACGGGAGGCAGCAGUGGGGAAUAUUGGGCAAUGGGCGAAAGCCUGAUCCAGCCAGGCCGCGUGUGUGACGAAGGUCUUCGGAUUGUAAAGCCCUUUUAGUUGGGAGGAAGGGCAGUAGGUUAAUACCUUGCUGUUUUGACGGUACCAACAGAAUAAGCACCGGCUAACUUCGUG
Molecule: ribosomal RNA, 484 nt
Filed under: uncultured bacterium
Lineage: Bacteria
Description: partial 16S ribosomal RNA
Rfam family: Bacterial small subunit ribosomal RNA
Source: RNAcentral